This 343-nucleotide long non-coding RNA is filed under the name Carica papaya (papaya). RNAcentral's name for it is "long non-coding RNA (CPAP_LNC014367)". Lineage: Eukaryota; Viridiplantae; Streptophyta; Magnoliopsida; Brassicales; Caricaceae. The record is from RNAcentral.
CAUGGCCGGGGCAUUUUACUUGAUAUUAAACUAGAAACAAAGAUGAGGUAUGUGUGUACAGUGAUACAAAUGAUCGGAGGGGGGAGGGAAGGUGAAGGGGCACAUGCAUUUAUAACUGGGAAUGGGACGGGCGUGAUCAGUCCAGCACUAAUGCACUGAAUCCCAUAAGAACUCUAUAGUUAAGUGUCCUUUGAAUCCUACUGAAUCCUCGUGUUGCACAUGUCUUUUUUCAAAUAGAGCAUUAAGCAUUAUGCACGACCGGAGACGCAGUCCACUUGUUCAUUCGCUUGCGUGAGUCUUGGCACCAUUCAUUUAUAGUCCACCAUGUGAUAAAAAUAUCAUU